CCUGGUUGAUCCUGCCAGUAGUCAUAUGCUUGUCUCAAAGAUUAAGCCAUGCUCUAAGUACACACUUUGGUAAAGUGAAACCGCGAAUGGCUCAUUAAAUCAGCUACAAUUUAUUAGAUCGUACACUGUUACUUGGAUAACUGUGGGAAUUCUAGAGCUAAUACAUGCCGAGAGUCUCUGCUCUUCGGGGCAGAGCGCAGUUAUUAGACCAAAACCAGCCGUAUUCUUCGGGGUACGCUCUUUUGGUGACUCUGGAUAACCUUCAGCCGAUCGCAUGGCCUCGUGCCGGCGACGUAUCUUUCAAGUGUCUGCCCUAUCAACUUUCGGUGGUACGUGAUAUGCCUACCAUGGUGAUAACGGGUAACGGGGAAUCAGGGUUCGAUUCCGGAGAGGGAGCCUGAGAAAUGGCUACCACAUCCAAGGAUGGCAGCAGGCGCGCAAAUCACCCACUCCCAGCUUGGGGAGGUAGUGACGAAAAAUAACAAUGCGGGACUCUAAGAGGCCCCGUAAUUGGAAUGAGUACACCUUAAAUCGUUUAACGAGUAUCAAUUGGAGGGCAAGUCUGGUGCCAGCAGCCGCGGCAAUUCCAGCUCCAAUAGCGUAUAUUAAAGUUGCUGCAGUUAAAAAGCUCGUAGUUGGAUCUGGGGCUUGAGGUCGCUGUCUAUCGUUUCGGCGAUGACGGUGAUGCUCAGCUCUGCUUGCCGGUGACUGUUGCGGUGUUCUUCACUGAGCGCUGUAGCAGCACGGCACGUUUACUUUGAAAAAAUUAGAGUGCUCAAAGCGUGCUUGUCGCUUGAAUAAUGUUGCAUGGAAUAAUGGAAUAGGACCUCGGUUCUAUUUUGUUGGUUUUCGGAGCUUGAGGUAAUGAUUAAGAGGGACGAACGGGGGCAUUCGUAUUGCGGUGUUAGAGGUGAAAUUCUUGGAUCGCCGCAAGACGGACUACUGCGAAAGCAUUUGCCAAGAACGCUUUCAUUAAUUAAGAACGAAAGUCAGAGGUUCGAAGACGAUCAGACACCGUCCUAGUUCUGACCAUAAACGAUGCCGACCAGCGAUCCGUAUUGGUUGCUUUAUGGACCCUACGGGCAGCCUCCGGGAAACCAAAGUAUCUGGGUUCCGGGGGAAGUAUGGUUGCAAAGCUGAAACUUAAAGGAAUUGACGGAAGGGCACACCAGGAGUGGAGCCUGCGGCUUAAUUUGACCCAACACGGGAAAACUCACCCGGUCCGGACACCGUAAGGAUUGACAGACUGAUAGCUCUUUCUUGAUUCGGUGGAUGGUGGUGCAUGGCCGUUCUUAGUUGGUGGAGUGAUUUGUCUGGUUAAUUCCGAUAACGAACGAGACUCUAGCCUGCUAAGUAGUGUUGCUAUUGUUAUAUGGUUGACACUUCUUAGAGGGACAAGUGGCAUUUAGCCACGCGAAAUUGAGCAGUAACAGGUCUGUGAUGCCCUUAGAUGUCCGGGGCCGCACGCGCGCUACACUGGAGAAGUCAGCGUGUGUUAUCCAAGUCCGAAAGGACUGGGUAAUCCGUUGAACCUUCUUCGUGCUUGGGACUGUGGCUUGGAACUAUUCCACAUGAACGAGGAAUUCCUAGUAAUUGCAAGUCAUAAGCUUGCGUUGAUUACGUCCCUGCCCUUUGUACACACCGCCCGUCGCUACUACCGAUUGAAUGGUUUAGCAAGGUCCUCGGAUCGUGGCCGUAGGGGCACGCAAGUGUUUCUGCGGUUUGCGAGAAGAUGACCAAACUUGAUCAUUUAGAGGAAGUAAAAGUCGUAACAAGGUU
This 1779-nucleotide ribosomal RNA is filed under the name metagenome. RNAcentral's name for it is "SSU rRNA". It matches the Rfam family "Eukaryotic small subunit ribosomal RNA". The record is from RNAcentral.